UCCCCAUUGGUGUCCCCAGCCCCGAGACCGCCGCCUUCAUCCGGCACCUGGAGCAGGAGCAGGCCCAGCGCGCCCGGAACCCCCAGGAGCAGAAAUCCUUCUUUGCCAAAUACUGGAUGUACAUCAUCCCCAUCGUGCUCUUCCUCAUGAUGUCCGGAGCCCCCGAUGCUGGGGGGGCACAGGGCGGGGGCACGGGGGGCGGGGGGGGGGCGGGGGUCAGGUGAGACCCCCCCAAAAUCCCCCCCGGACCCCCCAGUGUGGGGCAUGGGCAAUAAAGAUGUGUGAGACCCCAAA
Non-coding RNA from Agelaius phoeniceus (red-winged blackbird), 294 nucleotides. The record is from RefSeq and is a predicted model, not a curated record. Lineage: Eukaryota; Metazoa; Chordata; Aves; Passeriformes; Icteridae.